CCUACGGGUGACAGCAGUAGGGAAUCUUCCACAAUGGGCGAAAGCCUGAUGGAGCAACGCCGCGUGGGUGAAGAAGGUCUUCGGAUCGUAAAACCCUGUUGUUAGAGAAGAAAGUGCGUGAGAGUAACUGUUCACGUUUCGACGGUAUCUAACCAGAAAGCCACGGCUAACUACGUGCCAGCAGCCGCGGUAAUACGUAGGUGGCAAGCGUUAUCCGGAUUUAUUGGGCGUAAAGGGAACGCAGGCGGUCUUUUAAGUCUGAUGUGAAAGCCUUCGGCUUAACCGGAGUAGUGCAUUGGAAACUGGGUGACUUGAGUGCAGCAGAGGAGAGUGGAAUUCGAUGUGUAGCGGUGAAAUGCGUAGAUAUAUGGAAGAACACCAGUGGCGAAAGCGGCUUUCUGGUCUGUAACUGACGCUGAGGUUCGAAAGCGUGGGUAGCAAACAGGAUUAGAUACCCGAGUAGUC
Molecule: ribosomal RNA, 465 nt
Filed under: uncultured bacterium
Lineage: Bacteria
Description: partial 16S ribosomal RNA
Rfam family: Bacterial small subunit ribosomal RNA
Source: RNAcentral